GCAAGUCGAACGGUAACAGGUCUUCGGAUGCUGACGAGUGGCGAACGGGUGAGUAAUACAUCGGAACGUGCCCAGACGUGGGGGAUAACGAGGCGAAAGCUUUGCUAAUACCGCAUACGAUCUAAGGAUGAAAGCAGGGGACCGCAAGGCCUUGCGCGUUUGGAGCGGCCGAUGGCAGAUUAGGUAGUUGGUGGGAUAAAAGCUUACCAAGCCGACGAUCUGUAGCUGGUCUGAGAGGACGACCAGCCACACUGGGACUGAGACACGGCCCAGACUCCUACGGGAGGCAGCAGUGGGGAAUUUUGGACAAUGGGCGAAAGCCUGAUCCAGCAAUGCCGCGUGCAGGAUGAAGGCCUUCGGGUUGUAAACUGCUUUUGUACGGAACGAAAAGGCUCUGGCUAAUACCUGGGGCACAUGACGGUACCGUAAGAAUAAGCACCGGCUAACUACGUGCCAGCAGCCGCGGUAAUACCGUAGGGUGCGAGCGUUAAUCGGAAUUACUGGGCGUAAAGCGUGCGCAGGCGGUUUUGUAAGACAGAGGUGAAAUCCCCGGGCUCAACCUGGGAACUGCCUUUGUGACUGCAAAGCUGGAGUGCGGCAGAGGGGGAUGGAAUUCCGCGUGUAGCAGUGAAAUGCGUAGAUAUGCGGAGGAACACCGAUGGCGAAGG
Molecule: ribosomal RNA, 668 nt
Filed under: uncultured beta proteobacterium
Lineage: Bacteria; Pseudomonadati; Pseudomonadota; Betaproteobacteria
Description: bacterial SSU rRNA
Rfam family: Bacterial small subunit ribosomal RNA
Source: RNAcentral